This 215-nucleotide long non-coding RNA is filed under the name Salvia miltiorrhiza (redroot sage). RNAcentral describes it as "long non-coding RNA (SMIL_LNC004481)". Lineage: Eukaryota; Viridiplantae; Streptophyta; Magnoliopsida; Lamiales; Lamiaceae. The record is from RNAcentral.
UGGUCAAAUCUCUGAUCAAAUUGUGAGCCCGGAUAAGUCGCAAAUUUUUUUUACUAGCAAAGUUCCUUCUCAGACCUGCAGGGCUAUUCGGAGCAUAUUGAGAUUUACUCAGGGCAACUUCCCGAUUACUUACCUUGGGGUUCCUAUCUUUAAGGGUCGUGUGCAUGCCUCCUAUCUUCGACCGAUACAUGAUCGUGUGAUCAACAAGUUCGCGA